RNAcentral lists this ribosomal RNA (433 nucleotides) under uncultured bacterium. RNAcentral's name for it is "partial 16S ribosomal RNA". It matches the Rfam family "Bacterial small subunit ribosomal RNA", at positions 31 to 507 of the family's 1533-position model. The record is from RNAcentral.
AAAGAAAGAGGGAGGAAGGAAGAACACAGGUAAGUCGAACGAACCCUUCGGGGUUAGUGGCGCACGGGUGCGUAACGCGUGGGAAUCUGCCCUUUGCUUAGGAAUAACUCAGGGAAACUUGUGCUAAUACCGGAUGAUGUCUUCGGACCAAAGAUUUAUCGGCAAGGGAUGAGCCCGCGUAGGAUUAGGUAGUUGGUGGGGUAAAGGCCUACCAAGCCGACGAUCCUUAGCUGGUCUGAGAGGAUGAUCAGCCACACUGGGACUGAGACACGGCCCAGACUCCUACGGGAGGCGGCAGUGGGGAAUAUUGGACAAUGGGCGCAAGCCUGAUCCAGCAAUGCCGCGUGAAUGAUGAAGGCCCUCGGGUCGUAAAGCUCUUUUACCAGGGAUGAUAAUGACAGUACCUGGAGAAUAAGCUCCGGCUAACUCCGUC